AGUGAACGCUGGCGGUAGGCCUAACACAUGCAAGUCGAACGGCAGCACAGUAAGAGCUUGCUCUUACGGGUGGCGAGUGGCGGACGGGUGAGGAAUACAUCGGAAUCUACUUUUUCGUGGGGGAUAACGUAGGGAAACUUACGCUAAUACCGCAUACGACCAACGGGGGAAAGGAGGGGAUCUUCGGAACUUGCGGGAUAGAAGGAGCCGAUGUCGGAUUAGCUAGUUGGCGGGGUAAAGGCCCAGCAAGGCGACGAUCCGUCGCUGGUCAGAGAGGAUGAUCAGCCACACUGGAUCUGAGACACGGUCCAGACUCCUGCGGGAGGCAGCAGUGCGGAAUCUUGGACACUGGGCGCAAGCCUGAUCCAGCCAUACCGCGUCGGUGAAGAAGGCCUUCGGGUUGUAAAGCCCUUUUGUUCGGACAGAAAAGCAGCAGGUUAAUCCCCCGCUGUUCUGACGUUACCCAGAGAAUAAGCACCGGCUAACUUCGUG
This 492-nucleotide ribosomal RNA is filed under the name uncultured bacterium. RNAcentral describes it as "partial 16S ribosomal RNA". It matches the Rfam family "Bacterial small subunit ribosomal RNA", at positions 29 to 507 of the family's 1533-position model. The record is from RNAcentral.